CCCGCACGUAUAGAUGGACAAGAAUAGGCUCCGGCUUAGUGUCUUAGCAGGCGAUUACUCCGCGGCGCUCGAAGCGCGUCGCGGUAUUUCGCGUAUUGUAAUUUCAACACGAGCGGGGUCAAAUCCUUUGCAGACGACUUAGCUGUGCGAAACGGUCCUGUAAGCAGUAGAGUAGCCUUGUUGUUACGAUCUGCUGAGGGUAAGCCGUCCUUCGCCUAGAUUUCCCCAAUGCGCGCCCUGCGAGACAGGGCCGCGUAGGGGUUGCGGUGCGCUUGUGUAGGGUAGGCCGGUUUGACUUGGCGUGUUCUGUUGGACGCGCGCAGGGAAAACCGGUCAUGCUGCGCGGCGAGUUUCGUAUAGGGUAGCCCGGUCUGACUUGGUGGAAUCGUCGCGGGCUUCGUCAGUUUGGGGGAGGCGGUGUAGGGUAGGAGGUAUAGGGUAGCCUACCCUACAGCGCAGGAUCCGACAGCGCGGGUGGUAUAGGAUAGGUGGUAUAGGGUAGGUAGACGGUAUAGGGUAGGUUGCGAAAUGAGUAUAGGGUAGGUCUCGUGGUGUAGGGUAGGCUCGGUUGAAGUCUCCCGCCGGUUAGGGGAAAUGCGUGCGAAAUGGUUUUGCUGUUUGGUGGCCGUGAGUCGAUUUUUUUGUUUUCCCAUACAAAUGAAUUUUGCGGAAAAUAAAGAGUGGCCCACGAGCCCGGUCUGGCGUGCGCCCCACCAAAAGCCCGUCGGUGGGUAUAUGAGGGAGGCUCGCCCGGCCGGCCGGGGCCCACUGAAAACUCCCGGGUAGGUAAAAGUUGGUGAGUUGUUAGUGGGCGCGGCUGGCUACUGAAUUUUUUCAGUGGAGGGAUUUUUCCCCAGUGGGUGCGUUUCAGCGGUUGGCCCACUGUAAAUUCCGCCCAGCGGGUGCGUUCCAGCGGUCGGCCCACUGCCAACUCGCGUGCGCGGUGGGCGGUAUAGGGUAGGUCGGUCAGACCCGGUAUAGGGUAGGCGUAUGGUAUAGGGUAGCCUACCCUACAGCGCAGAUGGUAUAGGGUAGCCCGGUCCGGCUUGUCGCACCCUCGUCCGCCUCGUCGGGACGCCAGACGCCGGACGCGGUAUAGGGUAGGUCGAAAUUUGGUAUAGGGUAGGCCGCUGGGUGUAGGGUAGGUCGCGGAAUCGGUAUAGGGUAGCCCGUUUGGUAUAGGGUAGGUGUCGAAAUCGGUAUAGGGUAGGUCGAAAUUGGGUGGGUUGGUGCUUUGUCGGGGUUUUGGGUAAAAGUGUAUAGGCUGUGUGGUUGAGAUCCGGAAAAGUCGAAAAUGUUGAAAACACAUCCGUUGAAAAAAUUAAAACAGCGAUUGAGCGCGCUGUAGCAGCCCUACGGCUACAGAGCCUAGUGCACUGUAAUCAGGGCGCUUCAGUGCAUAUAGUGCCCCAAAGCCCGCCUCGGUGUAGGGUAGUUGGUAUAGGGUAGGUGGUAUAGGGUAGGUUACCCUAUACCCCCGAUGGUGUAGGGUAGGUCGGUCCGCCUUGGUGCGCGCCGGAAGCCAGCUACCCUACAGCGCUCUUCGGCGCCGCACAGCGCACGCUACAGGCGUCGCCCGCCCGCGGGACCAGUCGCAUUCGACUCGCAGGCCUCGGUUGCGUCGACUGAGCUCGCGAAGAAAAAAUGCGUGCGAAAUGGUUUUGCUGUUUGGUGGCCGUGAGUCGAUUUUUUUGUUUUCCCAUACAAAUGAAUUUUGCGGAAAAUGAAAAGUGGCCCACGAGCGAUUCCUGGCGUGCGCCCCACUAAAAGUCCGUCGGUGGGUAUAUGAGAGGGGGGCAAAAAAGCCCGGCCGGAAACGGUCGGGCUUUCGAGCCUCCGCAACACUCUUAGUGGUCCCGUAAGGCGCCGCGACUUAUUUUCAGUACCUGAUCUUGCAGAUUCCCACUGCGUGGCCCUCUGAACAAGCUUGCAGGCUCCGGCUUCGCUAGCGGGGGGUUCAUAGUGGGCGUCGACCUCCACGAAAGCGACCGCCCAGGCGGUACGGCGUACUGGGGAUGCCUGGCUAUAGCGGACGUAGGCUUGCCUGCGACCGCUGCCGGUUGGGCUCUGUGGGUAACUGGCCGAUGGCUAGACCUACCAACUGAGCAUCGGGAGGCAACCUCUCGGGACUGACACCGCAAUGGUAGAUGUCCCGUGCAGCGUCCUCCUCUUGGGGCCCCUAAGCCACACGGCCCGCUACGGGUGCGGUGCGGCGGACGGAAGCCCUGGGGAAUUUAGAGGGGGAAAUCGGAAUGCCGACCACGGCGCUGCUGGCCUCGCCGACAGCGCUGUGUGCGGCGCGCCUUCACGGGCGCCGUCCAGUAACUUACCAUCUCUCCGGCGCUGAAACACGCGCCGGUGCC
RNAcentral lists this unclassified non-coding RNA (2363 nucleotides) under Ilyonectria robusta. Its description in RNAcentral is "partial contains 28S ribosomal RNA, 28S-18S ribosomal RNA intergenic spacer, and 18S ribosomal RNA". The stretch from base 1 to 225 matches the Rfam family "Eukaryotic large subunit ribosomal RNA", at positions 3162 to 3401 of the family's 3401-position model. Lineage: Eukaryota; Fungi; Ascomycota; Sordariomycetes; Hypocreales; Nectriaceae. The record is from RNAcentral.